ACCAUAUCUUAAUUUUGUUAAAUGUAUUCCGCGCUAUUAUGCUUAGUUUGGUAUUGAGGUUCGCUAUUAGAUAAAAUGGAGUUGGAAAAGAAAUUUAUCCAUUUCAUUUUUCGAGGUCUCAAAAAAAGGGCAUGGAGGUGUAAAAAUAUGUAGGAAUAUACUUCUGCAUUCUCCGAUACGUGAGACCGCAGAAAAUAUAUCGUAAUCGACUUAUCGCGAUAUACGGAAUGCGAUAUUACGUACGGAAACAAACAAAAUAUUUUUCCAAUAUACUUUCUCACCACACAUAACGCAAUCUUCCCGCAAUCCCAAACGAAGUCUAAAUCUAAUUGCACGCUUUUUAACAAAAAGAAAAAUAAAGUAAAAUCAUACAGAUAAGGCUAUCUGACCUUUCAAAACUUUGAUAUUACUAUACGAUUUUUUAAUUUAUUUGAUUUGAUUCAAUCAACAAUAUUUUGACUUCAAAAAUUUAAGUUAAUUACUAACUUUAAUAAAUAUAUAAUUGCAAGAAUUGUAUGAAAUAUACUAACUAAAUGUGUAAAAAUAAACGACACAUUUAAAUUUUAAAGUUAAAAUGUCCGUUGGCCGACUCAAAUCAAGAAAAUUAAAAAAUUUAAAAAGGUCAGAUUAUCGUUGCAA
This 639-nucleotide long non-coding RNA is filed under the name Ananas comosus (pineapple). Its description in RNAcentral is "long non-coding RNA (ACOM_LNC020067)". The record is from RNAcentral. Lineage: Eukaryota; Viridiplantae; Streptophyta; Magnoliopsida; Poales; Bromeliaceae.